AUGAAACAUUUUCCUCGGUAGUUAACUGCCGCCGGUUUCCUAAAAACCUCGGCAGUUAACUGCCGAGAGGGUAUU
This is a microRNA precursor of Medicago truncatula (barrel medic), 75 nucleotides long. It matches the Rfam family "MIR2629 microRNA precursor family". The record is from Rfam. Lineage: Eukaryota; Viridiplantae; Streptophyta; Magnoliopsida; Fabales; Fabaceae.